AUGUGGAGGCCGGGCCGGGCCGGGACCGCCGCCUGCCCUCGAUUUCUGUGCCUCCUUGUGCAGAUUUCCGCCACAUGGACGUCCCUCCGGCGGUCCAGCGGUCCAGGCCAGCCCUCGAUUUCUGUGCCUCCUUGUGCAGAUUUCCGCCACAUGGACGUCCUUCCGGCGGUCCAGGCCAGAGUUGUUCACGCAUCGGGCAGGGCCGGUGGGUGGGUGGCCGUCUGUUUCUCGUCACAUACACUCCAGGUCUCCAGCGAAGCUAAUCGAUGGUUUUGGAUCCACUGCCUAAAAGGCUCACAUAGUACAGGAUUACAGGCACAUACACUCAUCUAA
RNAcentral lists this ribosomal RNA (333 nucleotides) under Triticum aestivum (bread wheat). RNAcentral's name for it is "partial small subunit ribosomal RNA". Lineage: Eukaryota; Viridiplantae; Streptophyta; Magnoliopsida; Poales; Poaceae. The record is from RNAcentral.